UUCUUGCCAGAAUUCCUUCUUUUCCCACUAACUUCCUUUCUUUUUUCUUUCCUUUUUUUCUUUCUUCCUCCAACACAUGUUUGUUAGGGCCUCUAGCUCUACAUAGCCAUAUUAAACUCUUUGGAGAAAUAACUUGCAAAGACUGGAGAUCUAAGAACUCUGAAUGUGGGAACUGAAUGCCAGAUCUUGGAUUCUCAGUGGGAAGUGUGGCCUGGAGAAGAAGUUUACAAUGUUACAUGUUUCUGAGGACCCUUCAUACUUCAAGCUCAAGUCCAGCUUGCCAAGUUCCAGUUUUUAUCUGAUCAUCUUUGCAUCAAUAAUACAUGAAGCUGAGAUCUUCUGAAAAGAGGAUACUAUUCUCCCCCCUCACUGAAUGCUUUGCUUUUGCCAGCACCAACAUUGAUUUGGAUUUAAUAAUCUGUAGUCCUUUUGGUUUGAUCACACUUCUCAGGAAACCCCAAAAAGAGCCAUGGCCACAUAUCCACCAACAUGGAAUCAAUUGCUCCUUCUUAAUAAAUGCAAUCAUUGAACACCUGA
This is a long non-coding RNA of Neofelis nebulosa (Clouded leopard), 537 nucleotides long. RefSeq lists it as uncharacterized. The transcript is spliced from 3 exons. The record is from RefSeq and is a predicted model, not a curated record. Lineage: Eukaryota; Metazoa; Chordata; Mammalia; Carnivora; Felidae.